GAUGAACGCUGGCGGCGUGCCUAAUACAUGCAAGUCGAGCGAACAGACGAGGAGCUUGCUCCUCUGACGUUAGCGGCGGACGGGUGAGUAACACGUGGAUAACCUACCUAUAAGACUGGGAUAACUUCGGGAAACCGGAGCUAAUACCGGAUAAUAUAUUGAACCGCAUGGUUCAAUAGUGAAAGACGGUUUUGCUGUCACUUAUAGAUGGAUCCGCGCCGCAUUAGCUAGUUGGUAAGGUAACGGCUUAACAAGGCAACGAUGCGUAGCCGACCUGAGAGGAUGAUAGGCCACACUGGACCUGAGACACGGUCCAGACUCCUACGAGAGGCAGCAGUAGGGAAUCUUCCGCAAUGGGCGAAAGCUUGACGGAGCAACGCCGCGUGAGUGAUGAAGGUCUUCGGAUCGUAAAACUCUGUUAUUAGGGAAGAACAAAUGUGUAAGUAACUAUGCACGUCUUGACGGUACCUAAUCAGAAAGCCACGGCUAACUACGUG
This 497-nucleotide ribosomal RNA is filed under the name uncultured bacterium. Its description in RNAcentral is "partial 16S ribosomal RNA". It matches the Rfam family "Bacterial small subunit ribosomal RNA", at positions 28 to 507 of the family's 1533-position model. The record is from RNAcentral.